This is a non-coding RNA of Peromyscus maniculatus bairdii (prairie deer mouse), 154 nucleotides long. Lineage: Eukaryota; Metazoa; Chordata; Mammalia; Rodentia; Cricetidae. The record is from RefSeq and is a predicted model, not a curated record.
AUAUUAGAUAUGUUAUCAAGGUCAAAUAGAGCUAUAUUUUAGAUAGACCGGUCAUCUUCAAACACUUGAGAGAUCUACAGAAUAUGGCAUUUAAGAUGUUUUAAUAACAUAGGUUCUAUUUUUAUGACAAUGAAACAUGUCUUAAAUCCUGGCA